This 414-nucleotide ribosomal RNA is filed under the name uncultured bacterium. RNAcentral's name for it is "bacterial SSU rRNA". It matches the Rfam family "Bacterial small subunit ribosomal RNA", at positions 355 to 784 of the family's 1533-position model. The record is from RNAcentral.
UGGGGAAUAUUGCACAAUGGGGAAGACCCUGAUGCAGCGACGCCGCGUGAAGGAAGAAGUAUUUCGGUAUGUAAACUUCUAUCAGCAGGGAAGAAAAUGACGGUACCUGACUAAGAAGCCCCGGCUAACUACGUGCCAGCAGCCGCGGUAAUACGUAGGGGGCAAGCGUUAUCCGGAUUUACUGGGUGUAAAGGGAGCGUAGACGGAAGUGCAAGUCUGAAGUGAAAGCCCGGGGCUCAACCCCGGGCACUGCUUUGGAAAUCUGUGGAUCUAGAGUGCCGGAGAGGUAAGCGGAAUUCCUAGUGUAGCGGUGAAAUGCGUAGAUAUUAGGAGGAACACCAGUGGCGAAGGCGGCUUACUGGACGGUAACUGACGUUGAGGCUCGAAAGCGUGGGGAGCAAACAGGAUUAGACU